GGAUUAGAUACCCUAUUAUUUUUGAUUUAAAUUUAUUAUUCUUGGGUAGUAUUAGAUAUGAUCUUGAAACCUAAAGAAUUUGGCGGUAUUCUAGUCUUUUUAGAGGAAUCUGUCCCUUAAUCGAUAGUCCACGCUGAACCUUACUUGGUAAAAUUUAAUAUGUAUAUCGCCGUUUUUGAAGAUCUUUUUAGAGGAUUUUCUUAAGAUUUAAUUUUAUAAAAAUUCAGGUCAAGGUGCAGUUUAUAAUCAAGUGGUGAUGGAUUACAUUAAAAUUAUUUAAACGGAUUGAAUUUUGUAAAUUGAUUUAUGAAGGUGGAUUUAAUAGUAAUUAUUUAUAGAUUUUUAUACUGAUUUUGGCUCUAGGAUGUGUACACAUUGCCCGUCACUCUCAUUAUUAAGAUGAGAUAAGUC
RNAcentral lists this ribosomal RNA (411 nucleotides) under Panchlora azteca. Its description in RNAcentral is "partial 12S ribosomal RNA". The record is from RNAcentral. Lineage: Eukaryota; Metazoa; Arthropoda; Insecta; Blattodea; Blaberidae.